AGUUUAUUGUUUUUUAUAAUAAAUUUUUUCUGCCCGGUGAAUAUUUUAACGGCCGCGGUACUCUGACCGUGCAAAGGUAGCAUAAUCAUUUGUUCUUUAAUUGGGGACUAGAAUGAAAGAAAGGUUGAAAGCAAAGCUGUCUCUUUUAAGAGCAAGAAAUUGCUGUUGUUGUGAAGAAGCAAUAGUCUGUCAAAAAGACAAGAAGACCCUAUUAAGCUGUACUUUUUCCAUUGAAUUUUUUCUUUUUAGUAAAAAAAUUCAAUGGAAAGGGUUUAGUUGGGGUGACUGAAGAGGAAUAAACUUUUAUCCUCUUUUGUUUAGAAAACUUUAGGUUUAAUUUUGAUCCAAUAUUUUUUGAUUGUAAGAAUUAGUUACUAUAGGGAUAACAGCGUAAUUUUUUCAUAAAGUUCUUAUUGAAGAAAAAGAUUGCGACCUCGAUGUUGACUUAUUGUUUCCUUGAAAGGUGUAGUAGCUAAAAAGGUUAGUCUGUUCGACUAUUAAAACAAU
RNAcentral lists this ribosomal RNA (507 nucleotides) under Yininemertes pratensis. RNAcentral's name for it is "partial 16S ribosomal RNA". It matches the Rfam family "Bacterial large subunit ribosomal RNA", at positions 1832 to 2597 of the family's 2925-position model. Lineage: Eukaryota; Metazoa; Nemertea; Pilidiophora; Heteronemertea; Lineidae. The record is from RNAcentral.